Anolis carolinensis (green anole) is the source of this 3007-nucleotide long non-coding RNA. RefSeq lists it as uncharacterized. NCBI's taxonomy places the organism in Eukaryota, Metazoa, Chordata, Lepidosauria, Squamata, Anolidae. The transcript is spliced from 2 exons. The record is from RefSeq and is a predicted model, not a curated record.
UAUGUUGAGAAGUGGUAUUUGGGUGUGGCUUUCAACUGCAUAUGGUAAAUGUUUUCUCCUAUACCUUGUUCAUUUUUAAUUCCAAAACGUAAUGUACUUUCUGGAUAGCCCUCGUAUUUUAUUAUCAUAUCGCCGUAGUGUUUUAUAUUUUAGCAGACCACACACUGUCCUCAUCGUGUUAUUUAGUGGGUGGUUUAGAAGUGCAAUAGAGCAAACAAACCAAUAAAGUCAUAACAGUCUUAAAUUAGGGGCCAGCUGUUGCCGGAAGAGACGCUCCUUCGGAUCCCGGGCUUGUGUCCCGACUGACCCGUCUGUGACCUUCUUUCGAGGCACAAAGAUUGCUGCUUCCAUUGCAAGACCGCAGCUCGCUCCAUCAAAAAGAAUAGCUCAAGCUCUUGCAAAAGAUUAAAACACUCGCUGUAACAGGUCCCAUUGUGUUCCAGCAACAUCCUUCACAGUAAGAACACCACAAAUACAUCUGAAAUUACACUCUUAUCAGCGCCAAACACCACAGCAAUGCUCCAUGCCAAUAAGGACUAUGAGAAUUGUGGCAUCCUGCCUCAGUUCAGCAGGAGAAAAGAAAAGAAAAAUCCUGAAAGGCAGAACAGCUCUGCAGAUGAACUGGGGAUUCUGCAGCUGUGAGGCCUGGAUGGAAGUCAGGAAUUCAAAAUGACAUGCAGCAACGCCAAGCGCUUUCCUGACCUCAGCUCCGAUCACACUGAGAAUGGCCAAAUACGGUAACUGAUAUUACUCAACACCGAGGGGACCUCUGCAAAAUGUUACAGAAACUUCCUAGCGAUGUCUGGGAAGAUCUCAUCCAGGCUGACAGAGGGGUGCCAUUCACACUUUCGAUGGAUACAGAAGAGCUCCUAAGGCGCGCCAAUAUUAAAACCAGCUCUGACACAGCAUCAACACCUUUUCAAUCUAAUCAGCAUAUGUGCUUCAGAGAAAUUCCAACCAUCACAGUAUGACUGAAAUAUUUCAAUUCCAUCUCGUACGGCUUCCAAAAUUCUUGCAGCUUGUCAUAUUUCCAACCAAAUAGUUUGCGAAUCAUAACAUGAAAUAGUACUAUUCUUUCCACACAAUAUAUGCAUCUACAGUGAUACCUUAAGACAGUGAUGGCCAACCUAUGACAUGCGUGUCAGCACUGACACGCCUAGCCAUUUUUGCUGACACGCUGCAUGCAGAUUGAUUGGAUGACUAUGUCUUUUGUGGCCAAAUUCGGUCCGAUUUGGUCCAGUGGUUUUGUUGUUUACUCCAUGGGAAUUAUGCACAUUACAUUAUCAUUAUAUCAUUCUAUUAUUAUUCUAUUUAUUUUAAUUUUUUUGCCAACACCUUUCCCAUUUCUCCAGGCUUAUGGUGUGUCCGAACUCCCUUGCCCAGGUGGUCAUGUUUUCCUUAAUAUAAACCUCUUCAGUUGCCCAGAUCAACAGCUGUUGGUAUAACAUUUUGAUAAUUUUCUUUUCCAUCUUUAAGAUUUUAUCCCAUGUUGUCUCAUUCCUCUCAAAUCCUGUCUGAUAGUCUAUUUUAAAGCCUUCCCUAAUCUGCCAAUAAUUUAGCCAUGUUACAGAUGGUUCGAGUUGUUUUACUUCCUGGUAUGAUUUUAACCUUAUUCCAUCAUUGUCUGUUUUUGUCAAUUGUUUGUAUGUUAGCCAUCUUUCCCUGGGAAUCUCCCUCAUGUGUUCUGCCUCUAAACUAAAAUAUACAUAUUCAACACAGCUAAAGGAAAGUUGGUAUAAUAUUUACUUCAGGUGGUAUAUUACACCAGAAAAACUGGCAAAAAUGAACAAGAAUAAGAAUGGGGACAAGUGUUGGAAAUGCAAGAAAGAGAAGGGAGAUCUUUUUCAUAUGUGGUGGGGGUGCAAGAAGGUAAAAAGGUUUUGGAGAGCAAUACAGAAGGAAAUGGAGACUAUACUACAAAUGAAACUUGCACUGAAACCAGAAUAUUUUCUGUUAGGGUUAACGGACUUCUUCACGGACACAAAUAAUGAAAAAUUGUUUAUAUACAUGAUAAGUGCAGCCGGAAUUACGAUGGCAAAACUCUGGAAAACAGCGGAAACACCGUCGCUAGAACAAUGGACUGUGAAAUUGAUGGACAUUCAAAAUAUGGACAUAUUAACACAGAUAAUUUCAGAAAAAACGGACACAAAAACAGACUGGGACAAAUUAAGUAAAUUUCUCAAGGAAAAACAGAAAAAUGGAAACAUAAAGGAAGAAACUGUGUAAGAAAAGACACUCUUAGGUUACCAGAAAAAUGUUCGGGAGAGAAUUGUGAUAAUUAAGAAUUAAAAUACUGAGCAGGGGAUCUGGAAGAUAACCAGGAGAGAGGUGGGAGGGCCGCGAGACAAGAGGGGGGUAUAUUUUAUGGUAUAGGGUGGUUUUGUUUUGUUUUUUUGGGUUUUUUUGUUGUUGUUUUUUUAUGUGAUCACAUGUGGCUCUCCCCUUUUAUUGUACCACUAAAAAUCAUAAAUAAAAGAGGAAAAAAAUUAUUAUUCUAUUAUUAUUGUAGUACAGUAGAGUCUCACUAAUCCAAGCCUCGCUUAUCCAAGCCUCUGGAUAAUCCAAGCCAUUUUUGUAGUCAAUGUUUUCAAUAUACUGUGAUAUUUUGGUGCUAAAUUCGUAAAUACAGUAAUUACAUCAUAACAUUACUGCAUAUUGAACUACCUUUUCUGUCCAAUUUGUUGUAUAACAGGAUGUUUUGGUGCUUAAUUUGUAAAAUCAUAACCUAAUUUGAUGUUUAAUAGGCUUUUCCUUAAUCCCUCCUUAUUAUCUAAGUUAUUCGCUUAUCCAAGCUUCUGCCGGCCCGUUUAGCUUGGAUAAGUGAGACUCUACUGUAUAUUAUUAUUACUAUCAUGUUAUUAUUAUAUUAUUCAUUAUUCAUGACUACAUUGAAACUAGAAUAGAGAGAAAUCAGCGUGGAAACUGCAAGAGGUACCAUAGAUUGUUGUACAUGGAAAUAACGGUAGUAAAUACUUUUUGAUUUAUUAAAUACAGUUAUAUAUUACAA